This 892-nucleotide long non-coding RNA is filed under the name Mus musculus (house mouse). RNAcentral describes it as "predicted gene, 33586". Lineage: Eukaryota; Metazoa; Chordata; Mammalia; Rodentia; Muridae. The record is from RNAcentral.
UAAGAUUUAUCGAGCACUUGUUAUGCACCAGAGGCUGUUGUCUCAAUCCACAGCACACUACAGGUCUGCUUGCUGAUUCCACUCUCUAGACCAUGGUUUUGCAGCUGAUGUUCCAGUGCUGUAUUGCUAUUGUUGUUGUUACUUUGUUGCUGUGACAAAUGACCCGACAGAGAAGACUCAAAGAAAAGCACUUUCUUUGGGUUCCCAGUUUGGGGGUAGAAUCCACCAUGGCUAGAAAAGUGAUGUGACAGAAGUAUAAGUUACCCAGACAAAGAGCACCUACUGAGGAAUUUCCUAUGAACCACUGUUUGAACUUGUCCCCCAGGAUAUGAAGCCAGAGGUGCAACUAGUCAGAAAAGGCAGAGGCUGAGCUUAGGAAAGCUUCAAGUGAUACAGGCUCCUAUCCCUCUCCAGCCCUUGGACCGACCGCAGUGCUACAGUGACCCAUGAUGCCAUGCAGCUGAGUCACCCGGAGAUGCUGCUGUACAUCAAAGGGCAGAGAAGCAGGUCCCGGGGAGUCUCUAGCCCUCCCUGCACGUCAUCCCUUUGCUUGUACAAGCACAUCCAUCUCACCUGGUGAUGUCACUGCCCUGGAUUCAUAUGAGCCACAGAGAGCAGCUGAUGACAGGACUCCUAGGUGAGUUUUAUAGGUAAACCUGUGUGUGGCUCUCCUGAGACAAAGGUCACCUGGUUCCACAUAGUAUUGGAAGAGGGCAAAGAGAGAGGAUAGAAUUUCUGGCUGAAGCAAAGGGGAGGCUGCACCUCUCACGUUCACUCCAAAGGAGACAAACUCUUUCCUAAGAUGAGAUCACCCAGCAUGCUCAGCAAGGUGCUAAAAAAUAAUUGCCCUCAAUGAAGACAUACAAAUAAAUCAUUGUGCUUGGCAGCCAAA